CAGCAGCCGCGGUAAUACGUAGGGGGCAAGCGUUAUCCGGAAUUACUGGGUGUAAAGGGAGCGUAGACGGUUAAACAAGUCUGAAGUGAAAUGCCGGGGCUCAACCCCGGAGCUGCUUUGGGAACUGUAGAACUGGAGUGUCGGAGGGGUAAGCGGAAUUCCCAGUGUAGCGGUGAAAUGCGUAGAUAUUGGGAGGAACACCGGCGGCGAAGGCGGCUUACUGGGCGACAACUGACGUUGAGGCUCGAAGGCGUGGGUAGCAAACAGGAUUAGAUACCCCCGUAGUCCCUGUCUCUUAUAC
Molecule: ribosomal RNA, 301 nt
Filed under: uncultured bacterium
Lineage: Bacteria
Description: partial 16S ribosomal RNA
Rfam family: Bacterial small subunit ribosomal RNA
Source: RNAcentral